This 2209-nucleotide long non-coding RNA is filed under the name Homo sapiens (human). RNAcentral describes it as "HSALNT0204119". Lineage: Eukaryota; Metazoa; Chordata; Mammalia; Primates; Hominidae. The record is from RNAcentral.
UAAGGGCUUGACUGUGGGCUCAACAGGAAGCAACAUGACCCUUUCACUGGAAGAUCUCUAAAAGUCAGACCAGUUCCACUACAGAAGACUCCUUCAGCUUCCUGCUGGUUGGUGGGGGUAUUCUACGAGCCUGCUUUCUCUUAAAGGAAUUAUUCUGUUAUCAGCUCCACACCCCAAUCCUGACCGCCUUUGUUUCUAUUCUACCUGAAUCUGGGAACACUCUGCCCAGUUUCUCCCAGAAAAUAAAACUCCAAUCUCCUUGGGAGAUUCUAUGACCAUACGUACAAUUUUAGCCCAAGCAUGUCUUUUUGGCUUUGUACCCAUCAGAUACCUGAUGUUUCCAGUGCAGAAUCUCUCAGGGGUUUAUUGGGCAAUCUAGCUCAUCUGUGUUGCUGCCCGCCCUGUGCCAGCAGAUUCAGAAAAGCCUGAAUUUGCAAAAAGUUUGUUUCGAUCAUCAUAGGCAAGGUGAAAUAGAAAGUCGAAGAAAUCAUCUCGGUCAUUACGAGUCCUCAAGUAGUUGCUUUUUGUACUUUGAAUAAAGACUUUAGUCAUAGUAGGAGAGAUAGACUGUAAUGGACUUACUUCACGAUGGCUGCACCAGAGGUUCCAAGAACGAUGGCUUUCAACUUCAACCCACAUCUAAAACACACCACUGUAGCCACACCCUACACCCUGUGGUUAUCCAGUUGUGAGUCCUAUUGGAGAGAUGAGGUGUAUGACAGUUUCCUGGAGGGGGUCAUAUGGAUCUACUACUACCUUCCCACUGACAUUAGGCAGAUGUUCAUUAGAUUGGUUUGAUAGAUGUAAUGGUUAAUAUUGAGUGUCAACUUGAUUGGAUUGAAGGAUGCAAAGUAUUGUUCCUGGGUGCGUCUGUGAGGGUGUUGCCAAAGGAGAUUAACAUUUGAAUCAUUGGACUGGGAGAGGCAGACCCACCCUCAAUCUGGGUGGGCACAAUCUAAUCAGCUGCCAGCAUGGCCAGCAUAAAAGCAGGCAGAAGAAUGUGGAAGGAGUAGACUGGCUCAGUCUCCUGGCCUACAUCUUUCUCCCACGCUGCAUGCUUCCUGCCCUCGAACAUUGGACUCCAAGUUCUUCAGUUUUGGGACUCUUGAACCUUUGACCACAGACUGAAGGCUACACUGUUGACUUCCCUACUUUUGAGCUUUUAGGACUCGGACUGGCUUCCUUGUUCCUCAGCUUGCAGACGGCCUAUUGUGGGACCUCACUUUGUGAUCAUGUGAGUCAAUACUCCUUAAUAAACUCUCCUUUAAAUAUACAUCUAUCUUGUUAGUUCUGUCCCUCUAGAGAACCUUGACUAAUACGAUAGGGAAGCCAUAGUGACUGUCACUAAUAUUCUAAUAAAAGAAUUAUUAUCUAUGCCAACUCUGGAGAGCCACAGGUAAGCUAUACAUAGAUCAAAGUGUAAACCAGGGGUUCUCUGAGUGUGAUUCCUGGACCAGCAGUAUGUGGUGACAUUUGAAAUGCAAAUUCUUGGGCCCCACCUCAGACCACUGAAUUAGAAACUCCAGAGGUGGAGCUCAGCAGUUUGUUUUAACUAGUUCUCCAGGUGAUGCUGAGGCACAUCACAGUUGGAAAUGGUGAGGUAAGUAAGGAAUUUCAGCAGUUCAACUGCUGAAAUGUAGAUCUUAACAAAGUGCUAAAUGAAUAGAGGAAAAAGGGAUAAUUAUCUGAGACAUUUGGAUCUUGUUUCACGAAUAGGAGUUCAGAUGAAGUUAGGGAGGUCUUUUGAAGUAUAGGAAACAAGACAUGCAAAGACUGGGGAGGUUAGGAAGACCAGACCUAUUUCAAGAUAUACAAUGGCCUAGUGGGGCUUGAGGUAGCAGGGUGCAUUCUUUUUCUUAGAUAUGCUUCCUCCUCUCUGCUCCAUGGUGCCACACAUGAUGCUGGUGAUAAAGGAGACUGAGCGAGGGUAAAGAUUCACAGUGCCAGCAAGGGCUUGGACAUUGGCAGCCUAUGGAUCAAAUUGUGCUUGCAGAUGGGCUGUAUUUGGUAUUUUAUUGUACAAACACUAUGUAUUUGGCAUAGCAUUAUACAAAUAAAUGUGAACUAACAUUUAAUAAUCAGUUUGGAUGUAUAUAUGUGUAUAUAUAUUAUGUAUAAAUAACAUAUAUGCUAACACAAAAAUAUAUGUGCUAUAUUUAUAUUCUAUACAAAUAACAUAUAAAUAUAUGUUAACAUAUAAAAAUAUAUG